This 460-nucleotide ribosomal RNA is filed under the name uncultured bacterium. Its description in RNAcentral is "partial 16S ribosomal RNA". It matches the Rfam family "Bacterial small subunit ribosomal RNA", at positions 338 to 795 of the family's 1533-position model. The record is from RNAcentral.
CCUACGGGUGGCAGCAGUGAGGAAUAUUGGUCAAUGGACGAAAGUCUGAACCAGCCAUGCCGCGUGCAGGAAGACGGCUCUAUGAGUUGUAAACUGCUUUUGUACAAGGGUAAACGCAGAUACGCGUAUCUGUCUGAAAGUAUCGUACGAAUAAGGAUCGGCUAACUCCGUGCCAGCAGCCGCGGUAAUACGGAGGAUUCGAGCGUUAUCCGGAUUUAUUGGGUUUAAAGGGUGCGUAGGCGGUUGGAUAAGUUAGAGGUGAAAUCCCGAGGCUCAACUUUGGAAUUGCCUUUGAUACUGUUAGGCUAGAGAGUAGUUGAGGUAGGCGGAAUGUAUGGUGUAGCGGUGAAAUGCUUAGAGAUCAUACAGAACACCGAUUGCGAAGGCAGCUUACCAAGCUACUUCUGACGUUGAGGCACGAAAGCGUGGGGAGCAAACAGGAUUAGAUACCCGUGUAGUC